GACUGCGUGUCAGUUGUAAUGUGAUGGAAGCUUUCAGCAUCCAACGGGCGGUACUUGUGCCCCUGCGUGUUCUGUUUCUGAAACAGAAACUUUUCAUACAACCCUCAGCCUUGCAUCUGCUUCUUCAGUCUCUUUGUCACGAGUCCUCCCCGUUUUUUCGCACUGUCAGGUUCCGCAACGGCUACUUUAACGGCGAGCAUGCCGUGCCUCGUGUCUGGUAAUAACUGAUAGGGUACGAAGGAUCUUCCAAGUGAGCUCUCAACGAAAAACGGGAGAUUCCUCGUCUCCUUCGCACUGCUUUCGAUGUUUCCGUUUGCCUUCCUUCCCGUUGCAUUUGGGACAGCUCCAGCAUUCGUGGCAAACCAUUGAGCCAGACGAUUUCACAGGUGCUGCGACAGUUUUGUGCUGUGGACUUUGAGUUGCAGCGAGCACUCUUCUAGCCGGGUUUCUGCUUUCACGCGUUCCUUUCACAUCUUGUGUCAGUUCUGGAUAAAGCCUGGAGCGUCUGACGAGAUUCAGACAGAGUGGUCGUUCUGUUCUUCAAAACCGGAGUAACCCCUGUGGGUUACCUAUGUAAAGUCUUGUGUUUCGUCGUCUGUCAGUUGGCACCUUGCAUACAUCUUUGAGAAGGGGAAAGUGGGGGUUUUGCAGAACCGCUGCGUUUUGUGCGAUUGUCUGCCCUGUAAAAUAUCCCUGUCAAGUGAACUGCACUUCCGCUGUUUUGGUUUGCUCUGCUCGUCUUCUUCGUUCUUGUCACCACGGGUUGUGCUAAGGCAUCAAAUUCAGAACGGUUUCACAACGCGAUUUGCCGCUUUUCAACCCGGAGGGGUCUGUCGUUUUCAGAGCUCAGUUUUCACGCGAAUCAACGUCAUUGCUUCUUGUUCAUUCUUGUCUUCGCUUGUUCCUCGCCGUCGUCUCAUAUUCCGUCUGCAUCUUGUUUCCCCUUUCGUGUCUCGUCCUUCGUUAGGUCGCCUUGUCAAUUUCUCCGUCGUUCUGCUGAGAAGAGAGCCGGACUUCUUAGCUUCCUGAGAGAACCAAGUUCUCCGUUUUCUCACCUUUUGCUGGAAUAUACUCACGUUAGGCAGUGGAACAGUCAAACUCUAGUGUUGUGUUUUUUGUAUUGAAUUGAGCGCACAACAUCAAAAGUGGCAGGUGUCAAUCCUUUCUCGUCGGUUUCUCGCAAUUUUCUGGAGAGAUCUACUCUUCCCGUCUUCUUUGCAUCUGUUCUCAC
RNAcentral lists this long non-coding RNA (1231 nucleotides) under Toxoplasma gondii VEG. The record is from RNAcentral. Lineage: Eukaryota; Apicomplexa; Conoidasida; Eucoccidiorida; Sarcocystidae.